UGAUAGCGAUGAAACGUGAGGUUGCUGCCUGGGAAUGGCAGGUUUUCCGCGGAGCGAAUGUCAAGUUAGGAAACUGACGGCAA
RNAcentral lists this non-coding RNA (83 nucleotides) under bovine gut metagenome. RNAcentral's name for it is "S10-Clostridia ribosomal protein leader". It matches the Rfam family "S10-Clostridia ribosomal protein leader". The record is from RNAcentral.